CUUUAUUCAAUAACCUUGUAAUAUAUCUCUUUUUCUCUCAAAUUAUCGAUCCACGAGCUAUCAUAUUUGUUUUCACUAGGAAUUAAUCAAGAAAUACAUAAUUUACAGUAGCAUAAAAUAUGAGUCUGAAUUGCCACAAUUGUCAAGCCAUGAGAAUGACAGAUUUAAAAAAAGAUAAUUGAGAAUUUCAAUACAUUAAGGUGGAGUAACUACAUUCGAGCCUAUGGUUGGCAAUUUGGCAACAACUUUUUUGCAAGUUUGAUUGCUGCCCCUAACUUAAAAUAUCUGUGUCCGUCAUUGUUGAUACUUCCAAUCAAACACUACAUGCCAGACAUUUUUGGUGUCUGGUGAGUGACCAAGACACCCUUGUUGCACACCAAACAAGAAAUAGGCUCCCUCCACCUCACUCAUUCUAGACGAAACAAGGAGUGAGAAGCAACUAGAAGAAGGGGGAAUAACAGCAAUUACACGGCAAAUGGGGGGAAAAGUAGUUAGGGAAUAAUAGCUACAAAUAAGAGGGGAGGGAGGCUCAGUAGAGUAGGCAAAUAUUGAGUGUGAGCGAGUUUUAUAAGUUCAUCUAUUGUAAUUGUUCUUAUGCAAUACAAUCAAUAUUUUCGAUAUUCUCUUUUCUUAUUUUCUUCUAGCGAAGUCCUAUCAAAGUGGUGUCAGAGCACAUUCGAUCUAAUGGCCGAGAAGAAGAUAGAAGUCAGAGUAGAAGCAAUAGAAAAGAAGCUGAAGGAAUUGAAAACGGAACUUCAAUGCUAACCUGGACUGGAAAGAGCAGUGGAGUACUUAACUCAAGAGUAUGGCCAAGACGACGCAAUCACUGGAGGCAAUUCCGAAAGAUGUGGCGUUACUGAUUAAACCGAACGCAGCCGUGAAAAGAAAUCUUGAAGGUCUGGGAUUGCAACAUAGAGGCACAACCAAAGAAGAGGAGGAGAUGUUGAAGUCUCAGUUUCUUCUCUGCAGGACGUUUCUAAACCAGGAACGCCAUCUCCAAACAGACAGGAGAAGAUGAAGACAACAAGUAACAAGCAGAAAGAAAAACUUGUGAAUGGGCUGACAAUUAGGGCUGAAAUUCAAAAGGUAAAAGAAGUGGGCUAGUUUUGAAGAUGGCCCAGCAAGUGGACUGGAAGGAUUCACUUAAUAGAGAUACCUCUUUUUUGGUUUAGUGGGA
Molecule: long non-coding RNA, 1177 nt
Filed under: Olea europaea subsp. europaea
Lineage: Eukaryota; Viridiplantae; Streptophyta; Magnoliopsida; Lamiales; Oleaceae
Source: RNAcentral